This 889-nucleotide ribosomal RNA is filed under the name uncultured bacterium. RNAcentral describes it as "bacterial SSU rRNA". It matches the Rfam family "Bacterial small subunit ribosomal RNA", at positions 505 to 1397 of the family's 1533-position model. The record is from RNAcentral.
GUGCCAGCCGCCGCGGUAAUACGGAAGGUCCGGGCGUUAUCCGGAUUUAUUGGGUUUAAAGGGAGCGCAGGCCGGAGGUCAAGCGUGACGUGAAAUGUAGCCGCUCAACGGCUGAACUGCGUCGCGAACUGGCUUUCUUGAGUGAGUUCGAUGUGGGCGGAAUUCGUGGUGUAGCGGUGAAAUGCUUAGAUAUCACGAAGAACUCCGAUUGCGAAGGCAGCCCACAAGGCCUUUACUGACGCUAAAGCUCGAAGGUGCGGGUAUCGAACAGGAUUAGAUACCCUGGUAGUCCGCACGGUAAACGAUGGAUGCCCGCUGUUUGCGAUAUACUGUGAGCGGCCAAGAGAAAUCGUUAAGCAUCCCACCUGGGGAGUACGCCGGCAACGGUGAAACUCAAAGGAAUUGACGGGGGCCCGCACAAGCGGAGGAACAUGUGGUUUAAUUCGAUGAUACGCGAGGAACCUUACCCGGGCUUGAACUGCAGCCGAACGAUAGAGAGAUCUUGAGGCCCUUCGGGGCGGCUGUGGAGGUGCUGCAUGGUUGUCGUCAGCUCGUGCCGUGAGGUGUCGGCUUAAGUGCCAUAACGAGCGCAACCCUUUUCGUCAGUUGCCAUCAGGUGAUGCUGGGCACUCUGGCGACACUGCCACCGUAAGGUGUGAGGAAGGUGGGGAUGACGUCAAAUCAGCACGGCCCUUACGUCCGGGGCUACACACGUGUUACAAUGGGGAGUACAGAGAGUCGGAUGUACGCAAGUGCGUUCUAAUCAGGAAAGCUCUCCUCAGUUCGGAUUGGGGUCUGCAACCCGACCCCAUGAAGCUGGAUUCGCUAGUAAUCGCGCAUCAGCCAUGGCGCGGUGAAUACGUUCCCGGGCCUUGUACACACCGCCCGU